Cavia porcellus (domestic guinea pig) is the source of this 1331-nucleotide long non-coding RNA. RefSeq lists it as uncharacterized. Lineage: Eukaryota; Metazoa; Chordata; Mammalia; Rodentia; Caviidae. The transcript is spliced from 4 exons. The record is from RefSeq and is a predicted model, not a curated record.
UUUAUAGGCAGGAGAGGCUAUCAGAGAUUUUGAGUAGAAGCUUGGCAAUUUGGCUGUGCUUUAAGAAAACAGAGGUGAGAGAAUUCUGCAGGAUAAAGCAGAGGAAGGAGGGGCAAUGGAGGAAGAAAGGUCAGCUGGGAAAUGAUUGCAACACUGGAGGUGUGGUACGAUAAGAGAUGGGAGCAGCGUGAAUAAAAGAGAGAAAACAGAACUGUCACCUGUGACAUGUGACUGAGAGAGGGCUCUGGCAUCAGAUUGGAGCCAUAUUGCUCAGGUAUAAGACUCAGCAAUCCAGCAUUGUAAUUGUCUGACCUUCCAAACUUACCUGAAAACUAUGCUUUUCAGCUUCUUCAUCUGCAAAAUGAAUCAGGAGUGGCACAAGCCCCACUGACUAGUGAGAGGACUCUGCAGGGGGUGAAAAUCAGAAUGAAGAAAAACAGCAAGAAAAUUCUGCAUUUUCUGAUUUGGAACACAGAAGUGAAAAGCUCCUUAAAGAUUUCCAGAGAAUGAGGGCUCAGAGAACUGAGUUCUGCCCCAGCCAAUGGAAGAGAAGAGCACAUUGGCUUGUGCUGCAGGCCUGGAAAUAGAACACAUCAGUCAUUUCUGGAUGCUUGUCAUUGGAGGGAACCCAAUCAUGUGACUCCAGCUAAAAGCAAAGGACCUUAGGAAAUGUGAUACAGCUGUAUGCCCAAGAAGAGACUAUCCUCUGAGACAAGGUUAGCAGUUUCUGCCACCAUUGGUGACAUUGAAAGCCAGCAGAUUUCACAUGUAAUGCACCUACAUUACAACAUUUAACUAGAAUAAAAAGAUUUUGCUGUGUUCUACAAUACAGUGAUUUUUGGGGUCAGGCAUUAGCUCCCCUUUGGAAGGAGCAUGCUGCCUAGGUGUGAUAUCACCUCCAUUUUCCUUUUUGUACUAACCCAGGUACCGCUUUACAUAAACAUGACCAAUUCAUGCUUGAAAUUAAGCCAGUGAUUUAAAAAGUCUAUUUAACCUAAAGCUUAGAAUUUGUUUUUAUUUGCUGAAUUCUGAUCAAAAUCUUUUCUUUAAAUGUAUGGCUAGGGUCAUCACUCUUCUGUAAAUCCAAUAUAUAAUGUUAUACUUGCAAGUACUUGUUAUUCUGCAGGAUGACUCCUUCCUAAUUGGAUGAUCUAGAACCCAUUCUCAGCUGCCUUAUUUACAACCUAACUCUUCUUAGUGAUUUGCUUCUACAUAAUUGUUCCAACAUGUUAACAUUUUUAUAGAACCAAAAGCUUCCUUUUAUUUCCUGCCUACAUUUCAUUGGGUGAAAUGAUAUUUUAAAAGCUCAUGCAAUUACCAUAAUAAAUAUG